RNAcentral lists this ribosomal RNA (528 nucleotides) under Strongyloides stercoralis. RNAcentral's name for it is "partial 28S ribosomal RNA". The stretch from base 1 to 261 matches the Rfam family "Archaeal large subunit ribosomal RNA", at positions 289 to 548 of the family's 2987-position model. Lineage: Eukaryota; Metazoa; Nematoda; Chromadorea; Rhabditida; Strongyloididae. The record is from RNAcentral.
GUAUAGGUUUUAUUAUUAUUAAUAAAUUAUUAUUAAAUAAUUGUAUUUAAAUAUACAGCCACAGAAGGUGCCAGCCCUGUUAUUUAAUAAUAUUUAUUAAAUUUAUAAAACUUUAGAGUCGUGUUGCUUGGAAGUGCAGCACAAAGUUGGUGAUAAACAUCAUCUAAGGCUAAAUAUUCCUAUGAAUCCGAUAGCGAACAAGUACUGUGAAGGAAAAUUGCAAAGUACUCCGGAGAGAGAGUUAAAGAGGACGUGAAACCGAUACGAUGGAAGCAUACAGAGCCAGUUGCACUAUUAUUAAUAUUUUUUAUUAAUAAUUUUAAGCAUGGGUAUAUUGAUUAUUAAUUAGUUAUUUAUUAAAGAGUGAUAAAAUUUUUUAAAUUUUGUUAACUUUAAUAAAAUAAUUAUAUUUAUAAUUAAUAUUUAUUAUUAUUAAUGUAUUAAUAAUAUUUUAAUUAUUAAUAUAAUAUAAGACACAUGUGUUAAAUAUUAUUUAUUGGUAAUUAUUAUAUUAUUAUAAAUUAAUAA